Molecule: long non-coding RNA, 4167 nt
Organism: Carya illinoinensis
Lineage: Eukaryota; Viridiplantae; Streptophyta; Magnoliopsida; Fagales; Juglandaceae
Exons: 5
Source: RefSeq, a predicted model, not a curated record
CAAUUACUUGCCCUUUUUUAUCUUUCUCUCCAUAAAAUAAAACCCUAGCCAGCUCAUUUAGCAGCAGGAGGAGGAGUGCAGUGGAUCCUGGAACUGCUAAAUUUAAAUGAUUUCCAUGGAUCAAGCUACUCGUUCUAAAUCAUUACUGUUACUUUUCUUUCACUUACCAUUUUCCCUAUCACACAACUAAUUCUGAGAGGGAGAAGAAAAAGAAACAUUAGAUGCCGAUGGCAUAAACUUUCUGCAUUUGGAGAGACCUUCCUUUGAAGCAAAUGUGCAGAGAAAGAAAGGUGCCUGUGUUGAAAAGUGCAGAGAAAAAGUUGCUGAAUUCUAAGAUUAUUUUUAAGCACAGACUGCAAUGGCUGGACAAGAAGAACAUGAUCUUCUAAGCAAAACGAAGCCAAAAUUUGAUUAUAUCCCAGCAUGUCAUUCUAGCAAAGGUCCUUUGAUCGUCAAUAUGCAUAUAGAUGAGCCACUUCAUUGGCUGAUAUGGUUUCUUGGUCGCCCGAAGUAAAUUGAGUUGGACGAUCGAUGUAUAUGCAUGCAUGAAUUUGUAGCCAAUGCAUGCAUGAAGAUAUUCUGCGUGAUCAAGCUCCAGAGGCAUCACAAACACCAACUCUUUGUGUCCCAACAAAUACAGCUACUCAAGAUGAGAUUGCCUCCAUUCUUGAACACCAAUUUGUUACAACUCGUCAAUGAGGGUAUUACAAGUUUUUAGUUCAAUGGAAAAAUCGUCCAAAUUCAAAAUCAAUUUGGUUGCAAGCAUCGAAAGUCCAGCAUUUACAUCCACAUCUAUGUGCUGCUUACACUCGUUAAAACUUGUCAGAGUCAAAUUCUUCAAGGGAGCUGGCAAUUGAUGCAGAUUAGGAGGAUGCUCCAUAGUCAGUGGAGAUGUUUUAAUUCAUUUUAAUUAUUUUUUUCUAAAUUAUUGAUUUCCUAGUUAGAUUAGUAUUUUCUAGUUUUAUUCUAUCUGCAAUUGUUAUUUCCUAAAUAGAUUAGUAUUCUAUUUUGUUUGUUAUUUAAGAAUAAAGGAUGUACAAUUAAAAAUAAUUUUUUGAAAUGAUUAAUGAAAUUACAUGUUUGAUCCUGAGAUGAAACUAGUCUAGUGAGACACCAGAAACCUAUUAAUUUAUUUUAUUGGAAAGAUUCCAACUUUAUAUAGAGAGAUUUUGUACUUUUCUCUUAUUGGCAUCGACGUGAGGUUGAACCAAUAAGUUGCACCAAAGCCCAGGCGUCAAAAUAGUAAAACCUUAAAACCUCAAUAUAAAUUAGUUUAGAAUAACCAAAAGAAAAAAACUGCAACCAAUGCAUAAGAAACACGGAACUUGCAAAACAAAGUUAGCUCACGCAAGAAAUAAAGCAAUACAAAACCAAACCACAAAAACCAAAAGCAAUAAAAACAUCAAAUAAAAAACCGGUCAUAUUAGUAGAAGCGUAAAGAAGGAAAACCUAGCUUAUCCAAGCGGAUUAGACAUCUAAGCAGCCUCAGCACUUCCCCAAUCACUAGCCACUCUAUACGAUGACCCAUCGCACCAUACUUUGCUAGCUAGUCUAAAUUUUUAUUCCCCUCUUUGAAGACAUGACUCACAAAAAUAAACCAUUGAAUCUAUGAGACCAACAAUCUCCCCUCAAAAAUCUUCCAGAUACCAAACCCCACAUCUCCGUUGCUUCCACCAUGACACCACCACCUGAGAGUCAAGUUCAAUUUCUACAAAACCAAUCAUCAAAGUUUUACAAGCUUUAAGACCAUACAAAAGAGCUAAUAACUCCACAUGAUUAUUCAAACCAACUCCUAGAGGAGAAGCAAAAGCAUGAACUAAAUUACCUUAAGUAUCUCUAAUAAUACCACCCACCCUAGAAGCAAGAUUCCCAAAACUGCCACCAAUUUAGGACAGCACCUUGAUGAAACGAAAGACGGAAUAAGCAAACAGUGUAAAAUCUAAGUAUCAUUCCUUGAACAUUUAGUAAUCUUGUGGAUGUAAUGGCAGGCUAAAUGAAUCCAAUGAUGAACGGAUUGCCAAACUACACUGAAGGACUUUAGACGACGACCUUCCAUGCAAGCUACACAUUUGCGAUGUCAAAGACUCGAAGAAAGAAAAGAAUGAAGAAGUCCCACUAUUAUCCCAACCUGAGAAGAAGAAGACACACAGCGAAACCAGGCAGUUACCGUCUCUUUCCAAAUACCCCUAAGCGGUAGACCAAAAAUAGCACCAGACCCGAGCAGCAAAUUCCCCUUUAAACAAAACAUGAUUUUGAUCUUCAUAAUUACCCUCAACACAGUAGUCACACCUAGAAACAAUUGGCACACCCACUCAACGAAAGUGAUCAUCAACACUGAAAGCAUUGUUCCAAGCCUUUCGCAUAGAAACUGAAACCUUCAAAGGAAGCAGAUUAUGCCACAUCCAAGAAUGCCAAUCCAUAGUGGAACCCCUUAUUCGAAUGCAAUCCCAAGCUGAUUUAGUAGAAAAAUAACCAUUAUCAUGCCCCGUCCAUGUCAACACAUCCGAACCUCCCUUGCAAACUGCUAAUGAUUCAAGAAUAUCAUCAACAUUUUCAUGCCCCAUCAAACUAACCAACAAGUUGACAUCUCAUGAAUUAGACAGUUUACAAUACAUAACUUUAAGCCGAGGGCUACCCACAAUCAAAAGAUCAGUAAAUAAAGGACCCUGAUCGCUCCAUUUGUCAUACUAAAAGAAAAGAUUGCCUUCCUUGAUACGUCACUUAGAAUCCUCAAGAACCAAUGGAAUACAUUUAACAAUCAUCUUUCAAAAUCUCAUACCUUUAUUCAAAUCAAUAAGAAACCAUGGUUUAGAACUCAUAUAUUUAUCUUUGAAAAAACGAGCCCAUAAAAAUUACUUUGGAUUAAAUUUCAAACGAACCUCAAGUGGAGGGCUUUCUACAUAUCAUCCAGGUUUCGCAAACCCAAAUCACUGUCUUCCAUAGGGUUACACAUGCGACCAAGCCACCCAUUUUUUCUUACCUCUCCCACUAGUCUCGCCCCAAAAGAAAGUACUCAUCAAGCAAUAUAACUCUUUGAUGAUAGAUUGAGAGACCAGUAAAACAACAAACAAAUGUAAAGUCGUGCUUGUUAUGAAAAACGAUGACAAUAAAUUGAAAAGAAAUAUGGAACGAGAAAAGCAAUCACACACGACACAAGAUUUACGUGGUUCGGCAAAUUGCUUACGUCCACGGGAGCUGCAGAAGAUUUUAUUAUUAAGGAAUAUCACACUAUAAUGAUGGAUCAAUCACUAUACGUCCACAAUAUUUCUACAAUAUGGCCAUAUGACAUAAUAAUCAUAUAUAUAGUCAAAUGGUGGAAAAAACCCUAGAGCUGUGUAAAAUGCAUGUUCGCUCGAGCGGCAUGUCGAGCGCACGUCGAGCGAACUUCCUUCCCGCAUCUGCUCGAGCUCACUGUCGAGCUAACAUCGAGCGUUCAACUCUGCCUGAUUUCGCUCGAGCGGCCAAUGCCUCCACUUGAGCGGUGUGGACCAGACUUCACAGUACUCAACAGUGCUAGAAAGCACAUGCCUAAGGAGAAUUAGACAACCUCUCAAAGAGAGAAGCUUCAUAUUCCAACCAUUGAUUUUAUAAAGGACUUUGUUAAUCAUCUCCUCCAUAUGAACUUGCUUAAAUCUUCCCAAAAUAAUAGGCACUCCUAAGUAUUUGAAAGGAAAAAAACCCUCCGAGUGCCCGGUCAAACACUUAAGAGCUCUCUUGCGACCCAAAGGAUUUUUUUUAGAAAAGAACAUGGCCAUCUUUUCUUUAUUGAUCCUAUGUCCUGACCAAGUCUCAUGUUUAUCAAAGACAAAUAAAAGCUCCUGAAUUGAUCCCGUGCUACCAUUUGUAAAAAUCACCAUAUCAUCAACAUACAUAAGAUGAGAGAUUUGAAUCAUACAUGUGGCUUGAGAAAAUUGACCAAACUUUUUCUCCAUGACUGUAUUCUUAAAAAGUCUAGAAAGAACCUCUUGAAGAAUAAUAAAUAGGUAGAGAGAAAGAGGAUCCGACUGACGCAAACCAUGACCUCCUCAAAAAAAAACCUUUAGAGGUUCCAUUAUAACAAAGUACCAAAGAGACGAAAUACAAAUCUGAAUUAAAUCACAAACCUGAGGAGAAAAUCCAAAACUAUGAAGGAUAGCCACCAAGAAACACCAAUCAACCUAGGGGUGU